UUGGGGUUUGCAGCGUUUUCUUGUCACUAACUUAGUCCCUCUCUCUACACUGGCAGCUGUGAGAACCCCGGUGAUCCAUACCGUGUGGUCUUCCAUCCGGUGGUAGCUGACGCCAGGGUCCACUUCCCCCCUCACGUCAAACGCUUUGAGGUCUAUAUGUUUUCCUUCGCCGAGGAUGCGGGUGAGCCGAGUGGCCAGGUCUUUGUCCAUUGUGAUGUGGUCAUCUGUGAUGCCAGUAGUCCCUCUGGCGGCCCCUGUAGUGGACAAUGUGUGAAUCAGGACAACCCGAAAAGAGGUUGGUCUUGUUUUAUGCUUUUCAGACCCUGGCAGACCAUAACUGAACUAAUAGCUUCUCUCUCAACAGGACAACGACAUGUCAAAGACCUCUUUGAGGAGCGUCAUUUAUAUGUUUCUUCUGGAUACAUUCUUUGGGUGUAAUGUCUCUAACAUGUCAAAUAAAGUGUUCUAUAUAAAACAAUCCUAACCGUUGGACUACCUUAAUUGUAUCUGAUUUGCGUUUAACACCAAGGCGCAUGUAGUAGGCUUGUCGUCUGACGUGUAUCAAUCAACCCUUUUGUAAGCAUGGAACUCUGAACCAUCCACCGGAGGGAGAUAAGUGUUGCACACCAAUUUCCCGUCUAGGACAAACAAUGGGUGUCAAAACAAAAGCUUUCCAAUGUCCAGUAGGAUGAACUGACUCAAUGUUAUAGCAGAUGGUGUUUUGCCAAAGUGAGGCCAGCAGGGCUGUGGUUGGCUGCAGUGUUGGUAAUGUUCAACUGAAAUUACAACUUUCCUUGAUACCUCUCACUAGCUUGGUUUCCAUCCAAAUAUGGACAUUUCUUCUUUAAUGAUAUGCAUGUCAAUCGCUCAUGGCUCAAAUGGGAAGAGCUUGACUUCAUCACUACUUGUUUGUAAGACGUGUUGACAAGCUGACUGUACCGAGCUGUCUUUUUUAAACUACUAGCACACAGCUCGGACACCCAUGCCUUGCAUUCCCCACAAGACAUCUCUUCACAAUCUCCAAGUCCGAACUACGGAAGGUACAGAGCCAUGAAUACGUUGCAAUCUAUUCUGCAUCAGGAUAAGCUUUAAACACACACCGUAAGGAACAGCGCGGACUGAAGAAACACACUCCUUUAAAAGUUGCGAGCCUGCACCGCGGGAUGGCUUCAUUGCUCCAGACCACAAGGGGGAGUUUGCGCACUCAUUAUGCAUUUGGGUCCCAAGGCUUUGACCAAAGACGAAUUUUGACACGAGCCACCCUUGCCUUGUGGCGCUCAACGAAGAUUGCUGACAAAAUAGAUGGAAGUUGUCUUAACGAGUCAAGCAAAUGUACAAUUUGAGGAAUGUGUUAAUGUAGAGACGUUUGUGCGGCUUUUUUUGUCAGUUAAAUUACGAAAAUGAAUUUGUCUUUCAGGGACUCCUGAGAACCAACAAACCAGGCUGUUGUCUUGUGAAACAGUGGAUGGAAAGAAUCUAGCUGGCUAAAGCAUUGACUGCACAAUUGUGUAAGCUUGCCUUGCAGCUGAAGUAACAUGGCUAGCUAUUUACUUAGUGUCGGAUUAAAAAUAACUGUUGCCUAUCUGGGUAUGGACCUUAAACGUAAAGUUCUGAAGUAAUAUUCAUACCAAUCCAUGAACCUCAAGUCUGAAUGGCAUUAAUGAAGCCCAGAGUAGAAUACCUUUAUUGUGCGACGGAUGCAAGACCUAUACACACACGUAUUUUAGUUAUUACCACGCGUGAGAUUCCCAUAUUGUAGCUUGUACAUUGAAUAUAUUCACCGAUCAUGUGCGGUUCAGGUAUGACUGACACAUUCUUUUUCAGUCAUAUCAAAUGAUGCGGUGUCUGCAUGUAUGUAUUACACUACAACAGCGUUUACUGCUCCUGUGAUAUCAAUGAUUACACUAACUAUACAUGAUUGAUUUAAUUCAUAUAUACAGGAAAAAAACCUAUGCAGAUCUAACUCAUCUGAGGACACGAGUGUUUCAACCAGUGGAGAAUGUGAAACGCUUUAUUGAAAGUGCAUUUUAAUUGUAAGAGUUCAAUCUUGGGCGGGCAGGUGGGUAGAGCGUUGGACUAGUAACCAGAAGGUUGCAAGAUCGAAUCCCUGAGCAGAAACGGUAAACAUCUGUCCUUCUGCCCCUGAACAAGGCAGUUCCUAGGCCGUCAUUCUUAUCUGACAUGCCUAGUUAAAAGGAAGGCAAAUCUCUACUUCAAUGCACAUAUGGUGUGCAUUAGAUGAGGUGGGGGGAGAGAGAGCAUAUGAUUCAUGAAUGACAGUGCUUCCCUAAUAUUCUCUCAGUUCAUCCCAAUUGCGCUGUCGGGACUGGAUUCCUCUCACAUCAAAACAUACAUGCAGACAAGAGCAUGAUUAAACCUUUUUAUUCUAACACGGUCAGUCAUCUUAAAUCAGGAGGUGAAAUGCAAAACUGACUUUGGAUCAUUAACUCUGGGAUUUCAAUGUAAAGCAUCUAAUAAUACUUCCAGUUGACUCAACCAAGUGACAUCAUCUCUAUGAUCAGAACAUGCCCUCUGUCAGCCAUUUCAGAUGCGGGAGGGGUUCAACAAAACAGCUGAUAUAACCUAGAGGAUUUAGGGAGAGAGGGAUGGCGGACACCACACACACACAAGUACUUUAAGCUGAAAAACAGACCCGUGAGGACAAACGAUAGAUAAUGCCAAUAGGUGUCUGCGUCACAUACAGUAUCUUCUUUCAAAGUGUACCUGAAACAUUUUAAAGAGGGCUGUGUUUCUCACCACUUGGUUAUUGCAAGGCUAACCCAUGACUUGGCAGCAACAGAUAGUCCAGUGGAAAUGUUUGUGGUGUAAAUCUGAAAAUUAGCAGCUGACAUCUUAAGGGUUUUUUAAUUCAUGCAAGCGAGACAGAUUCCACGGAGGAAAAAGAACACAGAACAGUUUAAUUACCUCUGGUUAUGGACACUUUUUGCCAGCAAUAAAGCUUCCACGGCCUGGUCCUCACACAGUGAACAUCUGGCAAUAUCUACAUUUUCGACCCCCUUGGUCAGCUCGCUCUCUGAAUGUGAAGAAAGCAAUAACUGAGAUAUGACCGUUCAAUCUAAAGCAGCACGUGCCAUUUUUUUAGGAUAAGUCAAUACAGCCCAGUGCUGCUUACCUGAGGUGCCAUCUUCGUAGGUGUCCGCUAUGACUUCCUUUUGUGUCGGGGGAAAAAAGUGGCUUUCAGAACAGUUCUUUUUGAUUUUGACAAAAAGACAAUUGGCCUGUGAAAAACCACACCUUCAUACAAACGUGCUACUGUAUGCAGAAUUCUUGACUCGCAACUGAAGACGCUGCCCUAUCCUGCCAGCACGCCCACAAGCGAGCCACUCGGGAGCAGAAUGAUGACGCGUGGAAG
Oncorhynchus mykiss (rainbow trout) is the source of this 3373-nucleotide long non-coding RNA. The record is from Ensembl. NCBI's taxonomy places the organism in Eukaryota, Metazoa, Chordata, Actinopteri, Salmoniformes, Salmonidae.